UCGUAACAAGGUUUCCGUAGGUGAACCUGCGGAAGGAUCAUUACUGUGCCGUGGCGGCCGCCCCCCGGGGCUGGUCGCUCACCGUGCCACCCGUGUCUAUCUUACCUGUUGCUUCGGCGGGCCUGCGGGCCUCGCUCGCUGCCGGGGGACCUCGUCCCCGGGCUCGUGCCCGCCGGAGACACGCCUAAACACCUUUAUAACGUAACAGUCUGAGUAAUGAUACCAAUCAUUAAAACUUUCAACAACGGAUCUCUUGGUUCCCACAUCGAUGAAGAACGCAGCGAAAUGCGAUAAGUAAUGUGAAUUGCAGAAUUCCGUGAACCAUCGAAUCUUUGAACGCACAUUGCGCCCCCUGGUAUUCCGGGGGGCAUGCCUGUCCGAGCGUCAUUGCAACCCUCAAGCGCGGCUUGCGUGUUGGGCCUCGUCCCCCGUGGACGGGCCCGAAAGGCAGUGGCGGUACCGUGCUCCGGUGCCCGAGCGUAUGGGCUUUAUCACCCGCUCUAGUGGCCCGGCCGGCGCUGGCCUCAACCGUAGACCCCCGUCUACACACACCAAGGUUGACCUCGGAUCAGGUAGGGAUACCCGCUGAACUUAAGCAUAUCAAUAA
Molecule: unclassified non-coding RNA, 607 nt
Filed under: [Chrysosporium] chiropterorum
Lineage: Eukaryota; Fungi; Ascomycota; Eurotiomycetes; Onygenales; Onygenaceae
Description: Chrysosporium chiropterorum sequence contains 18S rRNA gene, ITS1, 5.8S rRNA gene, ITS2, 28S rRNA gene
Rfam family: 5.8S ribosomal RNA (bases 234-387)
Source: RNAcentral